Molecule: long non-coding RNA, 1260 nt
Filed under: Oryctolagus cuniculus (rabbit)
Lineage: Eukaryota; Metazoa; Chordata; Mammalia; Lagomorpha; Leporidae
Description: lncRNA (ENSOCUG00000038118.1)
Source: RNAcentral
AUGGGCCUGGGGGACGGCUGGGGGCUGGGGCCGUGGGCUGGACCGCCUGCCUGCGCAGCCCCGGCCUCUGCCCUGCCCUGCAGGUCCCCACCUCUCAGCGCUGUCACUCAGGCGCUGGCCACACGGUGCGUUUCAGCUUCCCAGUUCUCACUCAAAGGCACAAGCAGCGCCUUGCGCAGCGAGGCCCCCGCCCUUGCAACAAAAGAAGAGAGAGGCGGCAGGCGGCGCUGCCACCUGAUCCUGGGCCUGAGGACGCGUCUGGUUCUGGCCCGGGAGGUUCUUUUCUCCCCCGGUCCCACCAUGUCCUCUGGCGCCACGCGGCUGGUGCAGCGUCUCCGGCCUCCCCGUGACGCCUGCGGUUCCUACGAGGGGACCAGGCCCGAGCCAGCUGCCUGCAUGCACCAGGAAACAAGAGCCAGAGCACACGCCGCCACUGACGCCGGCGGGAGAACGCAGACCAUGACGGCGAGGCCUGGCGCGGCCCCGAGUUCUCCAAACCGCCUUCCCCGCGGGACUCUCCGGGACGCUCUGAGAGCAGCAGCAGCUGCCACUCAGAGCAGAACAGCACCGUGUGGCCGGCACCAUGAGUGUCCGGCGCGUGCUAACGGCGCGACACAGCAAGCUCCCGGCAGCUCUAUCGCGACUUCAAGUGCUUGGCAGGCAGCGCCCAGCAGAGCUGGCGAGCCCGCCUCAGCGCCUGAGCCGCUGGCUCUGUGCCCCACAGGGCAAAGGCCCACUUCCGGCCAGAGGCUCUGCCGGUCUCUGUGGACAAGCGCGGGGGCGCAGGAGCAGGGUCCCAGGCAGAGCGAGGAGACGGCCUCCAUGACCUCGGCAGCUUCUCCCCACAGGCUCCCAGAGGACAGCGCCGGGUCUCGGGCACCUGCACCCUGCACGGCAGAGGCGGUGCCCACGGCGAGCUGUGUCCCUGAGCCCGCUCUGGGUGCCGCCCGCAGCUGUGCGCUGCCAUGCCAGGUGGGUGGUCUCAGGGUGUCCCAAAGCCAGCGUGGGCACGCCCCCCGGCCCCGCCCCUUUCCUGGAUUUCCGGCUCAGGGAAGAAAAGGCGCCCUGGUGAUGUCAGCUGGCCGAGUCCUACCCAGGAUGAGAGUCUGCACCCGCUUCUGGGAUUUCCCAGGGUCGGAUGCCGCUCUUCUCCAGGGAGCUGCCUGCAACCCUGCCCUGCCCGAGUGCUGGGCUCUGCUCGCCCCUCCCCCCGGUUCUGUGCAUUCUGCUUCGGGUCUCACCGCAGCCUCGAGAUGGUGA